CAGCCGCCACGGGAAAACGGAGGGUGCAAGCGUUAUCCGGAUUUAUUGGGUUUAAAGGGUCCGUAGGCGGAUCUGUAAGUCAGUGGUGAAAUCUCACAGCUUAACUGUGAAACUGCCAUUGAUACUGCAGGUCUUGAGUAAAUUUGAAGUGGCUGGAAUAAGUAGUGUAGCGGUGAAAUGCAUAGAUAUUACUUAGAACACCAAUUGCGAAGGCAGGUCACUAAGAUUUAACUGACGCUGAUGGACGAAAGCGUGGGGAGCGAACAGGAUUAGAUACCCCAGUAGUCCCUGUCUCUUAUAC
RNAcentral lists this ribosomal RNA (301 nucleotides) under uncultured bacterium. Its description in RNAcentral is "partial 16S ribosomal RNA". It matches the Rfam family "Bacterial small subunit ribosomal RNA", at positions 509 to 807 of the family's 1533-position model. The record is from RNAcentral.